This is a long non-coding RNA of Beta vulgaris subsp. vulgaris (sugar beet), 767 nucleotides long. RefSeq lists it as uncharacterized. The record is from RefSeq and is a predicted model, not a curated record. The transcript is spliced from 3 exons. NCBI's taxonomy places the organism in Eukaryota, Viridiplantae, Streptophyta, Magnoliopsida, Caryophyllales, Amaranthaceae.
CACUUUUUACAUCUGUUAUGGGUAUCCUUAUACAAAUUGUCCAUCCAUAUUAGUACGAAGCCGAAAUGUCAAGUCCAUAACCCAUAUGCUUUUAGCCAAAAAGAAAAAAAUAAAAAAAAGAAAAAGAAAAAAAAAGGUGAAAACAUGAUUCACCAUCUUCACCUCCAUCCUUCUCCUUCGACUGGUUUAAGGCACAAGAACCAAGAAAACAAAAACUCAACACCUCCCUCUCCUUCCUUCUUCUUCGUCUAAUUCAACACAUAAACCAAUAUUUUGCAACACCAAAAAUCUCAGCUUUGUCAGCAAUAAUGGAAUUAGGGGCAAAUUUUUCUUCAAAAGCUAAACUCACCCAUCCACCAUUAGAUUCUGACCGAAAAUCCUUCCUAUAAAUACUGAACUCUCUCACCCAAAUGACUCAAGCAAACAAUUCAAAAAGACUCCGAUUUCGUAGACGAGGAAUACCAGGAGCACUAAUACGUUCGUGAACUUAACUUUUGGGCACGCGUCACGAGGUGGGUGAUCGAUCGGGGGAACAAAAGGGAGAUCAUUUAGAGUUGUCAUCCACUUAGCAUAUGAUUAGCUUUUGCUAGAACUCUGAAAGACUUAAUUAAUUAGUAAUGUUCAAUGAACGAAUCACUUGGUUGUAAGGAUUAAUGAAUUUGAGUUUAGUUUGUUUUUAAAUUUAGCCUUGCAUUUAUUUCCAAGGAGAUAAGUGCGGCGGUAGCGCCACAUGUCGAGUCGAACCCUCGUGGACUUUCCUCCCUCAA